GACGGAGGAUGCAAGUGUUAUCCGGAAUCACUGGGCGUAACGCGUCUGUAGGUGGUUUAAAAAGUCUGCUGUUAAAAAUUGACGCUUAACUUCAAAGGUGCCGUAGAAACUUUUAAACUCGAGGAUGGUAGGGGUAGAGGGAAUUUCCAGUGGAGCGGUGAAAUGCGUAGAUCUUGGAAAGACCACCAAUGGCGAAGGCACUUUACUGGGCCAUUCCUGACACUGAGAGGCGAAAGCUAGGGGAGCAAAUGGG
RNAcentral lists this ribosomal RNA (253 nucleotides) under uncultured bacterium. RNAcentral's name for it is "partial 16S ribosomal RNA". It matches the Rfam family "Bacterial small subunit ribosomal RNA", at positions 524 to 776 of the family's 1533-position model. The record is from RNAcentral.